RNAcentral lists this long non-coding RNA (581 nucleotides) under Equus asinus (donkey). RNAcentral's name for it is "lncRNA (ENSEASG00005027187.1)". The record is from RNAcentral. Lineage: Eukaryota; Metazoa; Chordata; Mammalia; Perissodactyla; Equidae.
UGAGAAAUGCAGGUAACAUCUCCAGGCACAACUGCUGGGAAAGCAGGCUUCCAUCCCCGCUCAAGGUGGCUUGCUCUGGCCAGUGGCGUAUGGACAAAAGCAGUGGUGUGCCAGUUCUGAGCCUGCACCUCCAGAGGCAGCACGUCCUUCUGCCUGCUUCUCUUGUGCUUCUGCCAUCCCAUUCUUUGGUUCCAGAAGAACGAAAGACACAUGGAACAGAGCCACCCUGGCCGAUCAGCAAAACUAAGCUCCCUGCACAAAGGAGACCAUAUUUGCAAGUCAUCUAGGACUCAGCUCUUCUAGAGCAAAGAAACCCAUAGACUGGGAAACCCUUCUUCUACUUUAGGGAACCCCUCUUUCCUAUCCCCAACCUUAGUGACUCACAAAAGUUGUGCCAGCUGUGGAGGAGUGGGAGUGAGGGUGGGAAGUGUAGGUCAUAUUGUAAAGGCCCUCCUUAGCCAAAAUGCCUUGCCGGAGGGGCCACAGAGGAUGAGGGCGAGGGAGACGAAUCCCUUCCCUAGCAGAAGCUGGCGGACAGGCAGUGCUCAUUCUGCCCCGUGUUCUGUCCUCAUGGUUCCCAC